AACACCUAACCGUGUGCCAGCAUGUUGGGAAUCAUUCACCAUUGGGGAACCCUGAUUGUGCACGCCGCGGGGGAGGAAGUCUUCGAUUGUAACCCCUGUCAUGCAGAGCCAGGGCGAGAGUGGAUAGUACUGCCAAGGGGAAGAGACCGCCAAACCUCUUGUGCCCAGGCAGCCCGCCGGUAAUAACAGAGGUUUCUCCAGGCGUUUGUUCGGGAAUUCACUGGGGCGUAAAAGGGGUACCGUAGGGCGGCGGGGGCAAAGUUGCGCGUGAAAAGGCAGGGGGCUCAACCCUCUGGAAUGCGCGUGAAACUACCCCUGCUAGAGCGAUGGAGGGGGAACCGGAAUUCUUGGUGUAGCAGUGAAAUGCGUAGAUAUCAAGAAGAAGACUCGUGGCGAAGGCGGGUUCCUGGACAUGAGCUGACGCUGAGGUACGAAGGUCAGGGUAGCGAAAGGGAUUAGAUACCCCUGUAGUCCUGGCAGUAAACGGUGCACGCUUGGUGUGGGAGGAAUCGACCCCUUCCGUGCCGAAGCCAACGCGAUAAGCGUGCCGCCUGGGGAGUACGGUCGCAAGAUUAAAACUCAAAGAAAUUGACGGGGACCCGCACAAGCGGUGGAGUAUGUGGCUUAAUUCGAUGCAACGCGAAGAACCUUACCAGGGCUUGACAUCCCGCGAAGACUCGUGAAAGCGAGGGAUACCCUUCGGGGACGCGGAGACAGGUGCUGCAUGGCCGUCGUCAGCUCGUGUCGUGAGAUGUUGGGUUAAGUCCCGCAACGAGCGCAACCCUUAUCUUUAGUAGCCAGCAUUUGAGGUGGGCACUCUAGAGAGACUGCCAGGGACAACCUGGAGGAAGGCGGGGAUGACGUCAAAUCAUCAUGCCCCUUAUGACCAGGGCUACACACGUGCUACAAUGGCGUAAACAAAGGGAAGCGAACCUGUGAGGGGGAGCAAAUCCCAAAAAUAACGUCUCAGUUCGGAUUGUAGUCUGCAACUCGACUACAUGAAGCUGGAAUCGCUAGUAAUCGCGAAUCAGAAUGUCGCGGUGAAUACGUUCCCGGGUCUUGUACACACCGCCCGUCACACCAUGGGAGUCAGUAACGCCCGAAGUCAGUGACCCAACCGAAAGGAGGGAGCUGCCGAAGGCGGGACCGAUAACUGGGGUGAAGUCGUAACAAGGUAG
Molecule: ribosomal RNA, 1178 nt
Filed under: uncultured bacterium
Lineage: Bacteria
Description: bacterial SSU rRNA
Rfam family: Bacterial small subunit ribosomal RNA
Source: RNAcentral